Molecule: unclassified non-coding RNA, 380 nt
Filed under: uncultured Rickettsiales bacterium
Lineage: Bacteria; Pseudomonadati; Pseudomonadota; Alphaproteobacteria; Rickettsiales
Description: contains 16S-23S intergenic spacer region
Source: RNAcentral
UCCGGAUUAACUCCGGCAGUUUCCUCAGAGUUCUCAGCAUUACCUGUUAGCAACAGAGGAUGAGGGUUGCGCUCGUUGCGGGACUUAACCCAACAUCUCACGACACGAGCUGACGACAGCCAUGCAGCACCUGUGCUCCUCCCACCCGAAGUGAAGGGAUCGAUCUCUCGUUCCCAUAGAGGGCAUGUCAAGGCCUGGUAAGGUUCUUCGCGUUGCCUCGAAUUAAACCACAUGUUCCACCGCUUGUGCGGGUCCCCGUCAAUUCCUUUGAGUUUUAAUCUUGCGACCGUACUCCCCAGGCGGGAUGCUUAACGCGUUAGCUACGCCACUGUGGCAUGACGCCACAACAGCUAGCAUCCAUCGUUUACAGCGUGGACUAC